This is a long non-coding RNA of Artibeus jamaicensis (Jamaican fruit-eating bat), 543 nucleotides long. RefSeq lists it as uncharacterized. The transcript has 3 exons. NCBI's taxonomy places the organism in Eukaryota, Metazoa, Chordata, Mammalia, Chiroptera, Phyllostomidae. The record is from RefSeq and is a predicted model, not a curated record.
CGUGAUGACGCAGGCGCGCGGCGCGUGUGGCGUGUGUGGUGGCAGUCAUGGCGCACGGUAAGGUCUUGUGUCGGCGGGACUCUCCCGGAUAUGUUCUUCAUCCGAGGCCAUCCGGGAUCCCAGGCGGGGCCCGCCAUCUGCUAAGACUGGUGUGCUGACCUGUAGAAGAAUGUGGAAGAAAGGCUGUCUUGUACAAUGACACGAUGACACAGAUAACCCCUGGGACUGAUGAAGCGGAUGCCCAGCGGUGGAAACCCACAGCGCCAGCACGCCAGGGAGGGUGCGGCGGGCUUGGGGCCCAGGACUUUGCCCCUCAUCUCUGUGAGCGGGUUCCAGUCUUUGCCGGCUCCCCUUCUGCAAGGAGUCGGGAGUUGCUGGCUCUUACUGGGGUCUGGGCGGCUCAGGCCCUAGCAUCUGACUGAUCCUCUCUGAGCCCAGAUGGGAUGCUCUUUCUUCAGCCUGCUUCCAGAACAAGGACCUAGGCCCCUCUGGCAUUUCCUGAAUGAGAAAUCAGGGACAUUUAAUAAAGAGAUUUUAAAUGUG